Molecule: long non-coding RNA, 421 nt
Filed under: Callithrix jacchus (white-tufted-ear marmoset)
Lineage: Eukaryota; Metazoa; Chordata; Mammalia; Primates; Cebidae
Description: lncRNA (ENSCJAG00000078834.1)
Source: RNAcentral
UGUGUAUAGGAUGGGACCACAUGGUUAUGUGACCCUGAUGAAUGCGUAAUGGAGGGAGAGGGGCAACCCUACAACAGAAAGGUUGUGCUGAGCAGAUAAAACAGUAGACACUGAACAAAAAUUAUAGACUUCUUUCCUCUAAGGAGUUUACUUAUAAUAAUUUUAUCCUUUUCUCUCUAGUUUUGAAUUUAGGAAGGGCAAGGCCAUCUUGACCCAGAAAAGCCCUUUAUGCAUUUACCUGAAAGAGGAUCACUUCCAUCUUAUCCUACAAUCAGGCAGCAAGUAUUUACUGAGUAAUGAUUGCCUCCCAGCAGCAUGCAGAUGAAGGGGAAUGGAGGCACAACUGAACUCACUUUCCUGAUGCUUUUUCCUGUCAAGAAGCAGAAUUUGAAUGGGCCUAAGGUAUUGGUCUUGCUGACCU